GCGAGGACGACGUCUGCCCGCCAUGAGGACGCCGCUGCUGCUCGCCUUCUACGCGGCACUCUGGGUCAGCUGUGAGUGUGUGCAUCCUGACUCCAUAACCUUGUUUGGGACGGGCACGCAGCUCAUGGUGGCAGGCCAUCAACAGCCCACCCUCCUGAUUUUCCAGCCCUCGGCCGAGGAGAUGACCACCCGCGGAACGGCCACCCUGCUGUGUGUGGUCAGCGACCUGCCAACACCUUUUGCCCCAGUGAGCUGGACGGCCGAAGGCUGCAGCCCGAGCCUCGUGGGGAGAAGCAGCGCCCCCGUCAGACAACCCGACGGCACCUUCGCCAUGAGCAGCAGCCUCACCGUGCCGGCCGCCCACUGGAGGGAGGGCUGCGUCUUCGCCUGCACCGUCCAGCAGGGAGAGCGGAGGGUCCAAGUCCGCCUGCGCCGGUCCGAGUGCUGGGUGUCCGUCCAGAAAGAAAAGUGAGGUCUUUAUAUAGCGCCUUUCACAACCCUACGAGCACUCUGGGCAGCUGCCUUCAAAGGCGCUUUGACCGGCGCUAUAGCGCCUUGCAGCUCCACAGGAAGCACCUGCCGACUCGCCCGCUUUGACCCCCUACUGGAGGCACAUGUGAACUGCACCCGAUACCACCUGCCAUUCACGGAGGUCGCUUCUCUAUCUUUGAUAGACAGAUACGAUAUUUUAUUAAUCCCAAGGGGAAAUCCACAUAACCAGCAGCA
Molecule: non-coding RNA, 726 nt
Organism: Polypterus senegalus (gray bichir)
Lineage: Eukaryota; Metazoa; Chordata; Cladistia; Polypteriformes; Polypteridae
Source: the annotation of a RefSeq genome assembly